UACGUAGGGGGCAAGCGUUGUCCGGAUUUACUGGGCGUAAAGCGCGUGUAGGCGGGUCUUUAAGUCAGGGGUGAAAUGCCAAGGCUCAACCUUGGAACUGCCUUUGAUACUGGAGACCUUGAGUCCGGGAGAGGUGAGUGGAAUUGCGAGUGUAGAGGUGAAAUUCGUAGAUAUUCGCAAGAACACCAGUGGCGAAGGCGGCUCACUGGCCCGGAACUGACGCUGAGACGCGAAAGCGUGGGGAGCAAACAGG
Molecule: ribosomal RNA, 253 nt
Filed under: uncultured bacterium
Lineage: Bacteria
Description: partial 16S ribosomal RNA
Rfam family: Bacterial small subunit ribosomal RNA
Source: RNAcentral